Molecule: long non-coding RNA, 211 nt
Filed under: Elaeis guineensis (African oil palm)
Lineage: Eukaryota; Viridiplantae; Streptophyta; Magnoliopsida; Arecales; Arecaceae
Description: long non-coding RNA (EGUI_LNC005882)
Source: RNAcentral
GCAUUAACACGAGCACUCAGGAAUGGCCACUGGACGAUGACAGCUUUCUCCAAGGCAGAGGAGCACGCAGUAUUUACGCGGCCGCCGUGGUUUUGAGAUGGCAACGAGGUGCUCUAUUUGGUAGGCUUCUUGACCCACAACUACCUGGGUGUGGAGUAAUUAGGCAAAGUCCGUGAAGCCGUAAAGUAAUAUUAAAAAUUUAUGACCAAGG